This 1104-nucleotide long non-coding RNA is filed under the name Strigops habroptila (Kakapo). RNAcentral's name for it is "lncRNA (ENSSHBG00005007163.1)". The record is from RNAcentral. Lineage: Eukaryota; Metazoa; Chordata; Aves; Psittaciformes; Psittacidae.
AGACCUGAGCUGAGGCCAGCUACGUGCUGUCUUUGAGAGUACAGAAGAGAAGAACAUGUCGCUUAGCAACCCCAGCCGGGACUGGGGGGAGGCAGCGAGGGAUGCAUGGUCCAGAGUCACCAAAGGGAAAGAUGCAUCCCCACCAGAAAACUCAACUUCUGAAGAUGCUUCUCCAAAAUAAAGCAAGCAAAUAAACAAACAUGGGGGCUUGCAGAAUGAGAGAAAUCAACCAUCAAACCCCCCAGCCCUGCAUGGCUGAGUUGUGGAACGGAAAACUGCUGCAAAAAAACUGUGUAAGAGGGAGAAUGACAGAACCAGCCCACUUCAGUGUGCUUCACACAGAUGAAAAAUGUCUCCUAAUUAAAUAAAGGUAAAUGGUUAUUCCUGGUCUUAUAUUAAUGAUCAUAAAGGUUAUUUAAAAUCUUCUUAAUUUUUAUGCCACUUCCAUCUCCUAAUGACCUAUAACUUAUUACUGAACAUAUCACAGUACAGUUAAGAGAAGUCUAAAUAUUAGCGGUUCACAUUUCUCCCAGAGCUCAGUACAGUCAAUGCUGUGCUCAGAUUCUGUGGUAAAACUGCAGAUUAUUAGAGCAAAUGCCUACCCCAUCUGCAGGCUAGAAGCUUAUAUAAACUGGCAUCUACUGCAUAUUCCAGCAGUUACAUACAUACUCAAAACUGGACAUUAUUGCACUCUGAAGUAACACUUAAUUUUAUCUAGUAAGGGCAAUGGUAAAUGAUAGCGUGGACUUCAUUAAGACCUAAGUUUCUUAAAUAACUUAAUACAUAAGUAACAAGAUAAUUUUCUGUUACCCAUAUGUAGAAAAGACCUAUAGGUUAGAAUCCUGUCUCCAGUGAGAUCAAUGGGAAUUUCACUAGUUACUGCAGGGGCGCCUAGGUUUUACCCAGGCUCUCUGAGAGGCCGUUUUCUGUAUUGGCAUUGCUCAUGUAAUGUGAUUCUUUGGUGAAAUUUCAAUAAGAGAAAUAUGUAAAGCACUUGGCAUUAAGUGGUCUAACUUUGUUAACAUACAGCAUUUAGAAUGCAAUCGAAAUGAGAAGCAAAUUAUGAUAACUCAGCUGUGACCAUUUCAAUAAAAAAUUCUUCUG